GUACAUAUUUACGGAACAGUAAGAGAGUGCACAUUUGCAAAUCCAAAGUGCACAAACGAUUUUAUUUUACUUUUAUUUUGUUUUGUUUUUCUAUACGCGCACGCUCAGAGGAAAAACAAAAUACUCCUGCUUACAGGUACUCAUACCUAAGUACAUACUAUAUACGGGACAUUAUACCCUACUAGGGUACCACAAAUUUUUUCAUACCUUCGGAAAAAAAACGCAUUCGCAAGAAAUUAAUCGGUUCGGUAGAGAAAAUAUAAAAUAUCAUAAUAUAUAUUUUUACAUAAAUAAGCAAAUAAAUAAACUAUUGCGGAAAAUUUAUUUUACUUGUUCAAAGUCCAAAUUGGCAUAUUUUCGGCAAUACCCCUUGUUCUUUGAUAAGCAAAAUCAAGCAGGAUUGCGUACUUAUGUACAAAGUGCAUUGAUCUCUUAUACGAGCACUCAUUUGCAAGUACAGUAGAGGCCCGCUAAUCCGAACACGGCCUAAUCCGGAUUCCACUGUAAUCCGGACAGAGUUAAAAAAUUCAAAAUUUCUAUUAUGUCCAUUGUAAUCCGGACCGACAUUCUCUAUCCGUAUUCUCUAAUCCGGAUCACAUGUUUAUUAUUCACUACAUUCGCUUCGCACUUUAUUUCGCCACUUAUGCGAGCGCUUUGUUUCAUACUUGUGUGAAUCCCCAAUAUUCUGGAAAUUACUUCCUGAUCAAACAUGGGUGUCUGCUGUAGAAAGAAGUGCUCCAGGGAGAAAAACCUCUAAAGAGAGAGUAACAUUUCUUGCUUGUGCAAACGGUGAUGGCACACAUAAACUUAAAAUGGUGGUCAUUGGAUAAGCGGAAAAUCCCAGAGCUUUUAAGAACUGUAGCGAUCUUCCAGUUGAAUAUUGCUCGACAAAAAAUGUCUGGAUGACUUCAACUAUUUCCGUAAAAUGGUUUCACGAGUCGUUUGUCAAACAAGUAAAAGAUUUUCAAGCGAAAAACAACCUAGAUGGAAAAGCUAUUUUACUAGUUGAUAAUGCUUCUUGUCACGCAUCGGUUGCGCAGCUUACGAGCGAUAAUUCCAAAGUUAUUAAAAACUAGCUGACCCCGCAGCCGUUGUCCUGCGUGAAAUUAUAUAGUUUGAAAUGAAAAGAAAGUUAAAUGUAUCAUUUCAUUUAUUUUUUUUUCAAUGUAACGCAGCUGUAUAAACAACAUUUUUCGGUUUCUGUUCCGGUGUACAGAAAAGAUGGUUUUCCAACUCGUGAGCACGCUACGGCCGUGUAAAGAACAUAGCAUUUCCAAAUUUAUGCCUCACACUAUGCGACUAUCUUUAGGUCCUGUUGGCUGUCAUCUCAACGGAAACAGAAUACGUUUCAGAGAAAAUGGCAAAUCGUUAGAACUCAAAGGAAUUCAUAGGAUCAAGCAUUCUGUCCCUUUGUAUUCGAUAGGUGCGUCACAAUCAGUCGGUUUCCAUUACACAGUUUCGGCGCAUGAAGAUUGGGAAACAUAAUAACGACGGAUCCUACUUUGAGACGUAAAUGAUGCUGUGGUAUACCAAGCCUGUCCAAAGAAUUUAGGAAUAUCACUGGAUAAUUCACGGCGUCGUCUUCAUAGUCAAGACGAUCGAUCGAUUUGUAUGAGCGCAAGGCUCCCGGAAUAUGACUUUGAAUCUUCCAGUUGAAGUCAACAACAUCGGUAUUUUUGGCAGCUAACAUUGCGCGUUCACUUAAGGAAUCGUAGUUACGAUAAUUUGGCCAAUGUCCGAACAUUUGUGAAGAGUUCAUCUUUCGUGAAUUGAUAAAGGGAAGAUGGAAUUGAUAUCGAACCACCGGAAGUAUCAACCGGUCAUUUCCAAUUUUAUGCGAAGACGAUGUAAAAUGUCUUCGGCAAUGUCAUUUUUGUUAGUAUCCCAUAAUAGACACGGAUUUGAAGGCUGAUAUGCCGAAGUGAUUAUCGCGAAAAGUGUGCGAACUUCAUUUGCAUUCCAGUGAUUAUCAUUUUCCAGCGAUUGUAAUUGCUGGCUUACUUCUCCAAAUCUUGCAAUGAUAAGCAAUGACUCAAAUAAAGUUAAACUGCGUACAUUAAUCAAUAGCAACCCAAGGUAGAAACAAUCGUCGUUUUUCGGGUGGAUUGUGUAAAUUUGUCCCAAUGCAUUAGUUGAUAAGACACCUGGAUGUCAAUCUACUGGUUGGCCUUGCUUUCUGCGUAAGUAUUCGACAAUGCAUUCAAUGUAUAAUAUCAAGGUAUUUUCGCAAAGAGCAAUGUUCUCACAAACGAAUCACUGACGAAAGUUGAGAAAAAUUCGUCAAUGUUAAUUUUGUUGCUGACGAUGUUUCCACUGGCUAUACUAUGUAUAUUCUCUGGGUUGAAAUACACUCUUUGGUCAUUCUCCAAAUUAACUGCGCACAACAGUCGGAAAACGUUCAUGAAUUGCAAAAGUAUUUAUUCUACAAAGUGCUUUAUUGCAGCUCACGUAUCGACCGUAUCGUUUAAGACCAAUAACCGCCAUGUUGCCUCCUUUGGCGACGUACUUACAAACGCAUUUUAUCGAUUACACCAAACUACAAUACUCAAUAUUGACAUGACUUUUGAAUGUGAAAUAGACAACAGUGGCGAAUAUGGUACGAUCUAUGUGUUGUCAACUUCGAUACUCACGCCUCUAAAUUGAAUGCUAAAUGUUCUGCCAUUGUCGUAUGGUGAGCGACGCCGAUAGAGUGGAUAUCCAUAAUUUCUAGUUUGUGUUUCCGAAAGAAAAGUACGUGGAUACUGUUUCGUGGAUUUAUUGACAGACAAACAAACCGAAGUGGGCUUGUGGUUUUCGCAAGGUUCAUGAAGCUUAUUGGUUUUCAUCACUUCGUAUAAUACUGGAUCUUUCUUUGCAUCAGGAAUUGCCGCAUUAUUGAAUGAUUUCAUCAAUUUGAUCUGGUGUAACCACCUUCCACCAUCCAAAUGUGUGCGUGCGGCAAACCUCUGUUUUGCCACUCAACAGAAUACAUCUAGCAUUUAACAGCACCAUAUAUGCGUUCUUCUUCUUCUUUACUGGCGUAGACACCGCUUACGCGAUUAUAGCCGAGUCAACAACAGCGCGCCAAUCGUUUCUUCUCUUCGCUACGUGGCGCCAAUUGGAUAUUCCAAGCGAGGCCAGGUCCUUCUCCACUUGGUCCUUCCACCGGAGUGGAGGUCUUCCUCUUCCUCUGCUUCCCGCGGCGGGUACUGCGUCGAAUACUUUCAGAGCUGGAGUGUUUUCAUCCAUCCGGACAACAUGACCUAGCCAGCGUAGCCGCUGUCUUUUAAUUCGCUGAACUAUGUCGAUGUCGUCGUAUAUCUCGUACAGCUCAUCGUUCCAUCGGAUGCGGUAUUCGCCGUGGCCAACGCGCAAAGGACCAUAAAUCUUCCGCAGAACUUUUCUCUCGAAAACUCGCAACGUCGACUCAUCGGUUGUUGUCAUCGUCCAAGCCUUUGCACCAAAUAGCAGGACGGGAAUUAUGAGCGACUUAUAGAGUUUGUUUUUUGUUCGUCGAGAGAGGACUUUACUUUUCAAUUGCCUACUCAGUCCGAAGUGGCACCUGUUGGCAAGAGUAAUCCUGCGUUGGAUUUCUAGGCUGACAUUUUUGGUGGUGUUAAUGCUGGUUCCUAAAUAGACGAAAUUAUCUACAACUUCAAAGUUAUGACUGUCAACAGUGACGUGAGUGCCAAGUCGCGAGUGCGACGACUGUUUGUUUGAUGACAGGAGAUAUUUCGUCUUGCCCUCGUUCACUGCCAGACCCAUUUGCGUUGCUUCCUUGUUCAGUCUGGAGAAAGCAGAACUAACGGCGCGGGUGUUGAGACCGAUGAUAUCAAUAUCAUCGGCAUACGCCAGCAGCUGUACACUCUUAUAAAAGAUUGUACCUGCUCGAUUCAGUUCUGCAGCUCUAAUAAUUUUCUCCAGCAGCAGAUUGAAAAAGUCGCACGAGUUGCUUCAAGAUAAUGUCCAUCGAAGCUGUUGCUUGAAAAGUCUUGCUGUGACAUCGUGACGAUCGCUUUCUGCUUGAUCGCGACCUAUAAUACCGCAUGUAUGUAUGUCAUCGCAUCCUGGGAGUACUCGUUCAUGUGCCUUGGGCUGCUAAUGUAUGUUGAUGCCAAAAAGAACGCCAACCGAUAUUAGCAAUCAAUCUGUAAUUGAUCACUUUGUGUGAAAAACACAUAACAUUUUCACUGAAUAAUUUUCAAAAAUUUUUGAAGCAAACGCCAAAUUUGAAAGAUUCAAAUAAUUGAAAAAUAAAAUAAAAAAAAUGAAUAAUAAAAUUUGUAUGGAAAAAAUUAACUUUUUGGAAUUUUCCAAUUUUCCGACUUUUCCUCACGAAAAGCAUACAGGGUUUUUUAUUUCUAAACCUUCCCCGAUCCCCACGGAACAUUCUCCGAAAAUUUCAUCAAGAUUGGUUCAGUUGUUCUCUCAGCGUUACUAAUAAACAAACAUUCAUUCGUUUGUAUGGGAAAAAGAAAACGGCUGGUUUAAGGGGUUUUCCGGCAAUUAUUCGAUUUUUUUUCUCCGCAUAAACCAUCCCUGACCCUCAACGAACAUUUUAAAAAAAGAAUAAUUAAAUUUGGUUCAGUGGUAUGAAAGUGAUGCGCGUACAUACAUUUUGGCGAUUCAUUUUUAUUUAUAUAGAUCUCACAAUAAAGAAUGCUGUUUUUUUUUGCUUGCGAAUUCUUGCGACAAGCUGUCGUCUGAUAUAGUAGCAAAAUGUUGGCAAAAAAUUCUUCUCUAUUCAGGGAAUAACGAUAUAGUUAAUACCGAAAAAAAUUCCGAUGCCGACGAGGAUCCAGAUGAUAGCAUUUUUCUGUCUGUUCUCAAAGAAAGGACGUCACAGCGUGAAGAUGCACAAGAGCUAACAGAAAUCGGACCUUUGUUGCAGAGGAUGGAUAAUAACAAUCAUCAACUGCCACAAUCUGAAAUUAGUGAAUGGCUUAUUGGAGAUAACGACCAUUUACCCCUCCAUAGUGACGACGAUUCCUCCGUUGAAGAAGUCGAAAACAAUGAACCAAAAGCUAAACAUGAAGACGCUAUUAAAAGCUUCAGCACCUGUAUACAAAGGCAAACAUGGACUCAGAAAGCAUGUCAACUCCAACACCAACACUGCGAUCAGCCAUCAGUGUUCCCCGUCCUGGGGUUGUCCCAACAGCGGCACCCCGUACAAUCAUCGCAUCAGCACCGUCAACUGCAGCUCGUAAUGGCACACGAGCAGCUGUAACCACACCGGCACCACCAGCGGAGCCGCAUCGCAUACGAUGCCCCCUUUGUCGCCACCCCCAUCGACUGCAAUACUGUGGGCUCUUCAAGGGCAUGUCACCCAUCCAGCGACAGCAGGUCGCACAGGCGCAUGGGCAUUGCACCAAUUGUCUGGCACACACGCACGCGACUGAGGACUGUGACUCUGGGGCAUUGUGCCAAAUGUGUGGCAGGUAGCAUCACACGCUGCUCCACCGGAACCCAAGACGUGAGGUUGGUCGGCCACCUGCCACUCGCAGACCGCAGCAAUCCAGCCGUGUGGCACGACGACGAAGACCGCCACCACCUCCUGAGUCUCGUCUAUGGCGACCGCGAAACGCAGUACCCAUCAGGCGCCAUCGUCAAGGGCCACACUACCGGCGCACGUCCGGACUUAGCAACGUUGUGGCAACGUUGCAACAACUCCAGCGAUUGCUAGGCUGAACAUUCGCCUAGGGGGGCCGGGAUGGCUAAAUGAGUUAAGCUUUCCGCCCCCAUACACUACUACACCACACAACACACCACUCACAAAGCAACACUGGCACACUCACCACACCUGGAGACAACACUCAGCGAUUGGAAGCAGCAGUCUACACCCACACACACACGCCAAUACACACCACACCAACCCACCAAAACUCUCCACAGCCCAACGAGCAAAAAGCCUCGUCCUGGAAGAAGCCGGCCCUUUCGAUCACGAAUUACGAGCGAUUAACAUCAGUGGACGUUUUCUUGGCUUUUUUCGGCGCGCAGCAGCUUCUCUCAGUUUUCUUCAAUCAACUCAAUUUCGAUUUUUUUUCCUACAAUAUACUUGGUACAACCUCCAUUGGUAUCCGACCAAGGAGCUCAUCAAUAUACGGUUCUUCCACGCAUUUACUGGCCCUCCACUGGUAUCCGACCAGGGAGAUUG
Bactrocera dorsalis (oriental fruit fly) is the source of this 6133-nucleotide RNA transcript. RefSeq lists it as uncharacterized. The transcript has 2 exons. Lineage: Eukaryota; Metazoa; Arthropoda; Insecta; Diptera; Tephritidae. The record is from RefSeq and is a predicted model, not a curated record.